UGGGUAACACUAACUGGAGGACCGAACCGACUAAUGUUGAAAAAUUAGCGGAUGACCUGUGGCUGGGGGUGAAAGGCCAAUCAAACCGGGAGAUAGCUGGUUCUCCCCGAAAGCUAUUUAGGUAGCGCCUCGUGAAUUCAUCUCCGGGGGUAGAGCACUGUUUCGGCUAGGGGGCCAUCCCGGCUUACCAACCCGAUGCAAACUGCGAAUACCGGAGAAUGUUAUCACGGGAGACACACGGCGGGUGCUAACGUCCGUCGUGAAGAGGGAAACAACCCAGACCGCCAGCUAAGGUCCCAAAGUCAUGGUUAAGUGGGAAACGAUGUGGGAAGGCCCAGACAGCCAGGAUGUUGGCUUAGAAGCAGCCAUCAUUUAAAGAAAGCGUAAUAGCUCACUGGUCGAGUCGGCCUGCGCGGAAGAUGUAACGGGGCUAAACCAU
Molecule: ribosomal RNA, 439 nt
Filed under: Salmonella enterica subsp. enterica
Lineage: Bacteria; Pseudomonadati; Pseudomonadota; Gammaproteobacteria; Enterobacterales; Enterobacteriaceae
Description: partial 23S ribosomal RNA
Rfam family: Bacterial large subunit ribosomal RNA
Source: RNAcentral